UUUUUUUUUUUUUUUCCUCUCUGUGUCGUUAGUUUUCAGGGGCUGUUGCCAUGUAUUUCUUUCCUCGGUAUAAUUGACGUGAUACUGGUGGUAUUGUGCUUAUUUAAUCCCUGAAACUUGAUGCUUAAUAUGUUUGGUUCAUGUCAUUGUCGUUGUGUAAGGAUUGUAGAUAUCAAUGGCUGUUUCUUCAGCAUGUUGUUGGAGUUUCUACUGUCUAUGUUAUUUGUUAUUGUGGGUUGUGGGCCUUUUUCUAAAGGUGACUGUCUUAUAAACACAUACAUGAGGAGCGGAGAAUAUCCAAUCCAGAGGAACUUGCAACAAAAUUUAAACUAAAACAAAAAGAAGAAACUUGGUAGUUGGGGAAGGAACUAUCACCAGCUGCUUCAAAUUGGUUGAGGA
This 399-nucleotide unclassified non-coding RNA is filed under the name Hevea brasiliensis (rubber tree). Lineage: Eukaryota; Viridiplantae; Streptophyta; Magnoliopsida; Malpighiales; Euphorbiaceae. The record is from RNAcentral.